GAAACAAAAAACAAAAUAAUAUAACAUUUACAACAUGGCUGACAAGAAAGCACCUUUCCACAUUCGGCAUCGGAUUAUAAAUGUGGUAUUUGCUUGAUGCUACUGAUAGAACCUGUGGUUUUACCUUGUAAACAUGAAAUGUGUAGAACGUGCUUUCAAAAGAAUGUCGCAGAAGCUAAUUUCUUAUGUCCAAUGUGCAGAAAACGCAUAUCCAGUUGGGCACGAAGGUCCAUGAGAGAAGAACAUUGGUGGAUCAAAAUAGAUGGGAUCAGAUUCAAAAAUUGUUUCCCGAAAAAUGCCACAAGAGAUUACGUUCUAAUGGCGAUGAUGAGAGUGACGAUGAAUGUCCACCAGUUAAGCGAGUUUUAGCAAAGUGUGGUGAAUUGCGACAAGAAUAUGAAGAGGAAAUCAAAAAAAUCAGAGAAAGAAAGGAAAAAGAGGAGGAAGCAAGUAAAAAUCUUAUAAUAAAAUACUCAAAGAACAGAAUCAACAAUGGCAACAACAGAUUGUGAAUGAAAGAUUGCCAAGUCAACUGUCCAUGGAUUCAGCACUUAAAAAAGCAAGAAUAGGGAAAAAAUCCAAAGGUAGUCCUUCAACAGAAGGCCACCAGCAAGACAGUGAUUAUAAAUUUGCACUAAAUCUGCAAAAAAAGUUGGACAAUGAGGCAAAUCCUCCUCUAAAACGGGAUGAAUAUCUCUUGAGAUCAUCAGGACGUAAUAUCAAAAAAAUAAAAGCAAUGGAUUAAAAUAGCAGUAUUGUACCUGCAAAAUAAUGCUAUAAAAGAUUAAGUGACAAUGAUGUCGAUGGUGACAGGAUUGACAAUGAGUUCAACUUUACGGUUUUACUAUUUACAUUGAUGUUGUUUUUUUUCUUGUUCUUUUAAAACACUUUAUGUCUCAUAAUUAUGAGCUUAAAGUAAUGGAAGCUGCUAGCGGUAACUUUAAGGAAGGAUAAAUUAAAGACUUAUUACCUAUGGAUAACAUGGACCUAGUAAUGAUAACAUGAACGUUAA
Molecule: RNA transcript, 1012 nt
Organism: Xenia sp. Carnegie-2017
Lineage: Eukaryota; Metazoa; Cnidaria; Anthozoa; Malacalcyonacea; Xeniidae
Gene name: E3 ubiquitin-protein ligase rnf168-like
Exons: 5
Source: RefSeq, a predicted model, not a curated record